GAUGAACGCUGGCGGCGUGCCUAAUACAUGCAAGUCGAGCGAACAGACGAGGAGCUUGCUCCUCUGACGUUAGCGGCGGACGGGUGAGUAACACGUGGAUAACCUACCUAUAAGACUGGGAUAACUUCGGGAAACCGGAGCUAAUACCGGAUAAUAUAUUGAACCGCAUGGUUCAAUAGUGAAAGACGGUUUUGCUGUCACUUAUAGAUGGAUCCGCGCCGCAUUAGCUAGUUGGUAAGGUAACGGCUUACCAAGGCGACGAUGCGUAGCCGACCUGAGAGGGUGAUCGGCCACACUGGAACUGAGCCACGGUCCAGACUCCUACGGGAGGCCGCAGUAGGGAAUCUUCCGCAAUGGGCGAAAGCCUGACGGAGCAACGCCGCGUGAGUGAUGAAGGUCUUCGGAUCGUAAAACUCUGUUAUUAGGGAAGAACAAAUGUGUAAGUAACUAUGCACGUCUUGACGGUACCUAAUCAGAAAGCCACGGCUAACUACGUG
RNAcentral lists this ribosomal RNA (497 nucleotides) under uncultured bacterium. Its description in RNAcentral is "partial 16S ribosomal RNA". It matches the Rfam family "Bacterial small subunit ribosomal RNA", at positions 28 to 507 of the family's 1533-position model. The record is from RNAcentral.